RNAcentral lists this long non-coding RNA (1572 nucleotides) under Mus musculus (house mouse). Its description in RNAcentral is "gap junction protein, delta 2 opposite strand (Gjd2os)". Lineage: Eukaryota; Metazoa; Chordata; Mammalia; Rodentia; Muridae. The record is from RNAcentral.
UGGAGCGGGCACCUGGCGCUCCCGCGCUGCGGCGCGCAGAGCUAGCUGCGGGGCUGGGGAAUCCGCGGCCACCGCCUCUAAUCCGCCCUUAAGUAGUCUCCGCCUGCGUCACGCCAGGUCGGCGGAGGGGAGCAGAGCGCGGCGUGCCGCUGUCGCCGAGCGUCGGAGCCCGAGGGGCCGCGGCCGCGCGCCGCGGGGGGAGGAGACGGUCUGGAGUCCCCCCGCUGCGCCGGAGAUGGGGAGACGGAGAACUGCAGCGCCCCUUGGGGCUUCUGAGGCGCCCAGGUAACCUCACCUGGCCGCCAGUCUCCCGCAGGAGGAACAGACACAUUGGUUCUACACCGAACCUAUUAACAGCUCAACUUCAAAUAUUUGGCAGAGGUGGGAUUGCAGUUCACUAAGGUUAUAUGAGCCAGCUUGGUUACGCAAAUGUGAAAAUGCACAUUUUCCAGCCUGUGUCAAGGUGGAAACAUCAGGGCAGAAGAACAUAACUGAUAAUAGCUGGUCACACCUAAGAAGCCAGGAAGCAGAGAGAAAUGGAGACCAGCCUACGAGGACACAUUCCUAGUGACCUUCUUCCCAACUUUGGGUUUCCACCAAUUCACAAGAACACCAUUAAUUAUGAAUUCAUCAACAAAUCAAUUCAUCAAUUAAGUUAAAGCUCCCAUGAUGCAAUCACUUCCCUACAUCCUCCCGUCUGAACAUCCUCGCCAUUGAGAACCAAGCCUUCAACACAUGAGUCUGGGCACAAUAAGUCACAUUGAAUCCAUUGAAGAUGUAAAUUUUAAUGGUUGAAAAUGACUAGCAUAUUAUGUCUGUGAAAUUCAGUAAAGGGGAAUAUGGAAGAGAACGUGUACUAAAACUAAGGGUUCUAGAACGCAUCUGUGCUCUUCCUUUCAAUCUGGAGAGUGAGACAAGGAAGUCUUAAGUUCAAGGCCAGCCUGGGCUAUGUAGUGUAUGCUACCAUUGGCUAUAUAAUUUGACUCCAGCAUUACAAGAAGUAGAGUAAAUAAAAGAUAAAAAAAAAUGACUAUAGAAGUAUCAAGAUAUUACGACUCAUUCAUAUGAUUUCUGCAAUUGAUUUAGUAUGGCAUAUGAUUUAGUAAUCAAAGUGGAUGAAGAUGAUAUAUAUGCAUUAAUAAGAAUAAGUAUGUGAGACUAAACACAGAAUGUCCACCAGACACUGGGCAGUAAUUAGAUUCAACUCUUGUAAAAAUGUUCAACAGGAAGAAAAAAAAACUAUAACUUUGCUUUAUACUUGGAUAGUUACUUUCAGUCAUACAGGUAUGGAAUAAAAUGAAAGGAAAAUGUAGAUGGGAUCUGAAGGCCAGCCUUCUAUUAUACUAUUAAAUUGUAGUGCAGGAAAGAAGAAGAGUUUGUUGUAUUUGAUGUUUUCCGAGGUUUUGUUUUUGUUUUUGAAGCAUCUUUUGUUUCACAGAUGCUGUUAAAUGUUGAACAUGACACAAUAAAAAGAAACAGACAAAAGUCACUGUCCUUGAGGAACUAGUAUGAAGAAAAAUCAGAUGUUAAUAAAACAAUCAUUCACAAGAAAAAAAAAAAAAAAAAAAAAAA